GUCCCGGCGAGCGCUGGUGCGGACGGGAGGCUCCUGGCCCGGCGGACUGACUGGAGCACGGACGCUGCAGCCGGUUGGGCCGGUGCCCUUUCCCGCUCUGGAAAGGAAGAGAAAUGGAAGUGAAAAAAUUGAGCAUUUCCUGGCAGUUCUUGAUAGUUCUGGUUCUGGUCCUGCAAAUUCUGUCUGCGUUGGAUUUUGACCCAUACAGAGUCCUAGGGGUCAGCCGAACAGCCAGUCAGGCUGAUAUUAAAAAGGCUUAUAAGAAGCUCGCCCGGGAAUGGCAUCCUGACAAAAACAAAGAUCCUGGAGCAGAAGACAAGUUCAUCCAAAUUAGCAAGGCUUAUGAGAUCCUUUCCAACGAAGAAAAGAGAUCGAAUUAUGAUCACUACGGAGAUGCCGGAGAGAACCAGGGCUACCAGAAGCAGCAGCAACGAGAGUAUCGCUUCCGCCAUUUCCAUGAGAAUUUUUACUUUGAUGAGUCUUUUUUUCACUUCCCUUUUAAUUCGGAGCGGCGGGACUCCAUUGACGAAAAGUAUUUAUUGCACUUUUCACAUUAUGUGAACGAAGUGGUUCCAGAUAGCUUCAAGAAACCCUACCUCAUUAAGAUCACCUCAGAUUGGUGCUUCAGCUGCAUCCACAUCGAGCCCGUUUGGAAAGAAGUGGUUCAAGAACUGGAAGGACUGGGUGUAGGAAUCGGUGUGGUCCACGCUGGGUACGAGAGACGCCUGGCCCAUCACCUGGGAGCACACAGCACACCCUCCAUCCUGGGAAUCAUAAAUGGGAAGAUCUCCUUCUUCCAUAAUGCAGUCGUCCGUGAGAACCUACGACAGUUUGUAGAAAGUCUUCUUCCAGGGAACUUGGUGGAGAAAGUUACAAAUAAAAAUUACGUCCGAUUCCUCUCUGGCUGGCAGCAAGACAAUAAACCUCACGUCCUUCUGUUUGACCAAAUGCCCGUCGUACCACUGCUGUACAAGUUGACCGCUUUUGCAUACAAGGAUUACUUGUCAUUUGGAUACGUACACGUCGGCUUGAGAGGGGCAGAAGAGAUAACAAGGCAAUACAACGUCAACGUCUACACCCCCACCAUCUUGGUCUUUAAAGAACACAUCAACAAGCCUGCAGAUGUCAUCCAGGCCCGAGGUAUGAAGAAGCAGGUCAUUGACGACUUCAUCACCCAAAACAAGUAUCUACUGGUAGCCAGGCUCACCAGCCAGAAGUCGUUCCAUGAGCUGUGCCCCGUGAAACGGUCUCACCGACAGAGGAAGUACUGUGUGGUUUUACUGACUCCCGAGGCUACCAAGCUGGGGAAACCCUUUGAGGCUUUCCUGUCCUUUGCCCUGGCAAACACGCAGGACACAGUGAGAUUCGUGCACAUCUACAGUAACCGGCAGCAGGAGUUUGCCACCACCUUAGUACCGGACAGUGAUACGUUUCCAGGAAGAUCCGCGGUGUCUAUCUUGGAAAGGCGCACCACGGGAGGAAGGGUAGUGUAUAAAACCCUCGAAGCUCCCUGGACGGGGAGUGAGAGCGAUAAAUUCACCCUCCUGGGCUAUCUCGACCAGCUGCGCAGAGACCCCGCUCUCCUGUCCUCGGAGGCAGUGCUCCCCGACCUGACCGAUGAACUUGCCCCUAUCUUCCUCCUCCGGUGGCUCUACUCCGCUUCCGACUACAUCUCGGACUGCUGGGACAGCAUAUUUCACAACAACUGGCGGGAAAUGAUGCCCCUUCUGUCCCUGGUCUUCUCUGCCCUCUUCAUCCUCUUUGGCACAGUCAUCGUUCAGGCUUUCAGCGACUCGAACGAUGAGCGAGAGUCAAACCCUCCAGAUAAAGAGGAAGUCCACGAGAAGGCCGGGAAGACUGAGCCAAGCUUCACCAAAGAAAACAGCAGCAAGAUCCCUAAAAAGGGCUUCGUGGAGGUAACGGAACUCACAGACGUGACAUACACCAGUAACCUGGUCCGCCUGAGGCCGGGCCACAUGAACGUGGUCCUCAUCCUGUCAGACCCCACCAAGACCAGCUUACUGCAGAAGUUCGCUUUGGAGGUCUACACAUUCACUGGGAGCAGCUGCCUGCACUUCUCCUUCCUGAGUCUCGACAAACACAGAGAAUGGCUGGAGUACUUGCUGGAGUUUGCUCAAGAUGCAGCCCCAAUCCCAAACCAGUAUGACAAGCAUUUCAUGGAACGGGACUACACGGGUUACGUGCUGGCCCUGAACGGCCACAAGAAAUACUUCUGCCUCUUCAAGCCCCAGAAAGCAGUGGAAGAGGAGGAAGCCAUGGGGUCUGGCGGUGCCCUUGACUCUUCCCUCCAUCUGGGCGAAUCGCGGGGGAAACCUUCCUGUGGCCUUGGACCCAGGCCCGUCAAAGGAAAAUUGAGCAAGUUGUCCUUAUGGAUGGAGCGGCUGCUGGAAGGCUCCUUACAGAGGUUUUAUAUCCCGUCGUGGCCCGAACUAGACUGAGAGGGGCUCAAGAGAGACUUAAACUCUUCAGGCUUUUUAAUAGGCCCCUGCGAACAGGCCUUUUCAGGACUCAACCUAUCGCCGAGGACAGAGAAUAGAUUCUAGAUUAUUCUUCUGGACAAUGGCUAGAAGAAUCUUUCCUUUGUCCUGUUCUAACCUAGGAGUGAAAAACACCUCAAGCUGAAUCCCCCAGAUCAAAAGAUUUUCCUGUGGGUCUCUCCGCCCUCGUUUGAAUGCCACACCAUUUAAAGCAGACUGCUCAUUCCCUCUUUUUUUGUCGUCCCGUCCCGUCACAUGCUCACACCUCGCUCCCCUGUCCUGUCUCUGUGCUGUGGGAGAAGCUGGGGACUCCAGCCCGCAGCGGCACCCAGAUGGAACCUCGCGAGCCCGGAGUGCUGGUCGGGUCACUUCCCACCCCCGCUCUGCUUCUGCCCCGGUGCAUGCUGCGUCACCCGGACAGCCCACGGCAGCUUCUAGGCCCUGCAUCCCGAAAGAGGCCCGGUUCCAAGCAACCUUAACAUUUGAUAGUUUUUCCAGUAGUCAGUGGCUAAAAGUAUAUUUGGGGGGUAUCCCCCUGCCCCAGUUUGGCAGCCAGAGUUUUAAAAGGCUGGGGAUAAGUGGGGGCUCUGCAUGUGAAUUUGGUUUCCUUCCCAAGACAAAAGAAGGGAGGGCUGGGCAGUGACCGAAGUGACCUCUCGGUGGUGUCCCCCCGGCCGCCGCCUCAGCACUAGAUGUCGCCAGGGAGGGAUCUGCACGGCAAGAAGUACUGUAAUGACUUUGAGCCAUUCACGCGUAUGUUUUCCCAUGCCUUUCUCCCUCUGUCAGUUUUAGGGUAUGAAUCUUAGGAGCCAUGAUUUGUGACCUUGUUCUCCGGACGUAGAGAUAAGCUGCUAGAAGCCAGUAGAUGUUCAAUGAAGACACCUCAUUCCCACCUGCCAUGAAUCAGGCUCGAGGAACCUCUAGUCGUGUCUCUUUAGUAAACUACCAGACCUGUCUUUGUAUCAAGGAACUUAAAAUUUCUUUUCAACAAUUGUAUUUUGAACACUGUUACCCCCAAAGUGCUGUAACUUUGAGCUCUCUUUUGUGACAAGUGACCCAAGACUUGUUCUAGACUCCUGUUUGGCAAAAGGCUUACUUUGAGCUUCUGGCCUAGAUUUUGAUAUCUCAGUUGCUUUCACUCUUAACUCAACAACUGCUUCACCAGUAACAGGGUCCGACCCACCAUCAGCACCCAGCUUGCAGAGCUCCAGUGCACAGUGGAUCACACCAGCCAGCUAGAGAGCUUGCCUUUUUUUCUUGUCUUUUUUCUUUUUCUUUUUUUUUUUUUUUUUUUUUUUUUUGGGCAGAACCACCGGUGGAGUUUGAACAACUUCCAAGAGUGGUCAGUUCUGUCAGAGUAAAUUUGCCCUUCUAUAAAAAGAAGGGUCGGAAUCAGUGAUGGGACAUUUACUGAGUUAGUAUUUCUUUAAUCAUAAUUGCUUGAAACUAAGCGAUUUGGAUCCUGAAUAAUUUAGAUACUGAGCUACAGUGGCAAGUAAUUAAUUAUUUAAGCCCAGGAGUUCCUGUAGUUUCCGUGGAGUCUUUAGCUUUGUUUAAAAAAGAAAGAAAGAACGAAAUCACUGCCAGGCUGCAUUUUUUUUCCACAUGAUCCUCUAAAAAUUGGAUGCUUGCUCUGGUGGCCGUACCUCCUGGCACCUGGCCCAGGCAGGCGUGAUUAAGGGACUCAUUUGGUUCCUCGAUGCACCGUCCUCCGAGUUAUUUUCUAGGUCUCUUAUGGCCACGUUGCUGAUGCGAGUGGUGUUUUGGUUCAGUGGUGGGCUUUGAUUUUUAACUUCUGGUACUAAUGGGAUUCGUGACCUUCAUUUCUGAAAACAGAAUCUCCCCAGCUUUGUUCACUUUAAAAAUGUUUCCCAUUGAAAUCAAAAGCACCUUCGGACAGUUAGCCGCACCCUCCUUUGCACUGAGAAAGGAAAGUGAGAAUAGGAUUAGAAACAUUCCUGGCAAAUUCUUCCACUGGUCUGUUUGGGGCUGAAAGAGAUGUCCCCCAAGAGGACACUAGGGAGGUUUUACUUCGACUGAACUUCGCCCUUGACCACCCAAGCCUAUCCUCCUGAACGUUCCCGUGAAUUUGUUUACUUUUGUGUCAAAUGUAUGAGCCGCUGUCACACUCGGCCAAUGCCACCUUUUCCUCUCUUGUGUGUAAUCACACAGACCUAAUUUCAGCUUUAAGUUAACUUCCUGGCCUUUGAAUAUGUUGAGACUGACAAUGUUGUUUUAUUUUUAGAAGUAGGGUUUUCUGGUUGAUGAUAGAGACUACGCAUCAUGUUUAGCGGAUGGGGAUGAAAACUGGCCUAAAACAAGUCUUUGUAGAAUACACACCUACUUACAAAUAUUUUUUUUAUCGUCCAGGUGCCGGUGGCAUAAUUUGUCUAAGAGAUUGUCAGCUAUGAGUCAGCAGCGUUUCCAUAAGACCACCUUGACUUCCAUUAAGCACCACGGUCUCUCUCUGCCAUCGCCUACCGACCGUGAAAAUUUGGCCGUACUUUUCAAAUUAAUAGGCUGAUUGCCUCCUCGUUCAGCACAUACAUGUUUUUCCUGAUUCAAAAAGAAAUGAGGUCUAACUGUGUUUUAAGUGAUUUGCUUUGUUUGGGAAAAGAGAUUGGAAGCAGACACUCAAAUUUUUUUUCUAAGUAAAAUUCUUUAAAAGCUGAUGCAGAAUGUCUUUACAGAUGAAAUAAUUGCUCGCAUCCAAAUGCCUGACCUUGUCCCUUGGAAACAAAUGCAGUGUGGCAGCCGUGAAUCUGUCCACUCAGUUUGUCAAGGAGGAGGAUGAAACUUUAGAGAGCGGUCUGAAAAGAAGAAUAUUACAGACUGGAAACAGAAAUAAACUAUUUUAAUGUGUGACGAUGACGCGUCGCCCUUGCAUCAGGAAGAGGAGGAUUUGAUCGCGGACCCAUUCUCAACAAAAUUGAAUUUGCGUGUAACUCAAACACAUGCCUGAAUCUUCAGUGCAGAUCUCAGGAGCUGCUAUCCUAGAGGGUGGGCCAGCGCAAAGAGCAGAUGAUGCGAAACUGAGGCAGGGAGUAGGUUAAGGAAGUGUCACCAAGGGCACUUUGGAGGCCACCCGCUGUCUGGUUGAAAAGACAUUCCAUGCGCCCUCCUGGGCUGUUGGGUGGGCAGUUUCUUUGUGAGAGUCUGCAUGUUACUUUCAAACUAUUUGUUUAUGUUCACAAAUGGCCUAAAACCCAGAUGCAGCCCUGAGUUCCUCAGGAGGAGCCAUAGUGUAAAGGAAGAGAAACUGGAGACAUAGGAGAUGUUUAUACGGGAUUCUGUCCUAUGGGUUUUUUUUUUUAUUUCAUUUCUCCAGUUUUUAGAUAAUCCUAAACUCUGUCCCUUGUAACAACACACGUGCUUCUCUUUAAUUCAGACUCCUUAGAAAUAUUAGCUGUUGAAUCAGACUUCUACUGAAUGCCCUGAUUUUACAGCCUCCAGUGACACUCUAGCAGAAGGUUUUACUGGCGUAAACUCUUGAGUACUCGGGCCUCUUGCACAUAAAUUCCUGAGAACCUGUCAUCGACACAAGCUGCUGAUUUAUCAGGAAGAGCACGAGGUUCAGACGACUGUCACUUUGGGGAGCACACACAGCAUCUCAAACAGCAGGUUAGCCGCCAGGAGGGCCGUGUUUCCUACAAAGAUAAAAAACCAAAGGUGAACACCGAGCCAGCGGGCCGAGCCUCUCGCUUGCCUUCGUGCUGCCUUUGCAGAUUCCCUCUUCUGCCCAGCCACCCUAUGGACACGCUUUCCCCUGAACCAGAAGGCUCUUUGUUUACAAACAGACUCCCACCCCAAAGGAAAGCCUAUAAUAAUGGUGUGUAUUGUAUUUAUCACCUACCCUCCUCCGAAGCUAACAGGCCUCAGUCUGUAAGUUCUCUAAAUUGAAAUUGUUGGGGCGGCCUCUGCUUUGAAUAUCUCUCCUAAACCAGCUAACUGCCCACUUUUUUAAUAUUAAUAAACAUCACUUAGGCCGCGACAA
This is an RNA transcript of Lynx canadensis (Canada lynx), 6492 nucleotides long. It is a transcript of the gene named DnaJ heat shock protein family (Hsp40) member C16, with no coding region annotated. Lineage: Eukaryota; Metazoa; Chordata; Mammalia; Carnivora; Felidae. The transcript has 16 exons. The record is from RefSeq and is a predicted model, not a curated record.